This 253-nucleotide ribosomal RNA is filed under the name uncultured bacterium. RNAcentral's name for it is "partial 16S ribosomal RNA". It matches the Rfam family "Bacterial small subunit ribosomal RNA", at positions 524 to 776 of the family's 1533-position model. The record is from RNAcentral.
UACGUAGGGGGCAAGCGUUGUCCGGAAUUACUGGGCGUAAAGCGCGUUCAGGCGGUUUGGCAAGUCGGGCAUGAAAUCUCUCGGCUCAACCGGGAGAGGUUGUCCGAUACUGCUGGACUUGAGUGCAGGAGAGAAGAGUGGAAUUCCACGUGUAGCGGUGAAAUGCGUAGAGAUGUGGAGGAACACCAGUGGCGAAGGCGACUCUUUGGCCUGUAACUGACGCUGAGGCGCGAAAGCGUGGGGAGCAAACAGG